CGACGCCGCGUGCGGGAUGGAGGCCUUCGGGGUUGUAAAACCGCUUUUGUUCAAGGGCAAGGCACGGCUUCGGGCCGUGUUGAGUGGAUUGUUCGAAUAAGCACCGGCUAACUACGUGCC
This 120-nucleotide ribosomal RNA is filed under the name uncultured bacterium. Its description in RNAcentral is "partial 16S ribosomal RNA". It matches the Rfam family "Bacterial small subunit ribosomal RNA", at positions 392 to 509 of the family's 1533-position model. The record is from RNAcentral.